ACUCAUUGUGGACACUGCAGCUGUACAGUCCUUGGUCUACCAGCUGAACGUUACAUAUGAUAAGAAACUGAAUAUUUCCACGUUGUGACUGCUUCACUCUUUCAGAGUCCUCGAUCUUUAUGCCUUCGUGAGUCCAGGUUACAUCAACAGAGGAUUCAUCUUGUAAGACACAGAGGAAUUCAGCAGUGUCGCCGCACCUUACAGAGAGGUCCUGAAGCUGCAGGAGAAUCUUUGGUGCCUCACCCACUGCCUCUUCAGCAUAGUUCCCAGAUAACUCAGUGCUUUCUGCAAUUUGUGAAAGGGACGCAGUGUGGCGCAACUCUACAUUUUGAACCGAUGCAGCUGUGUGGAUGGAACUUUGAGAUACACUUUCAAAAACCUGUGAUUCAUAUUCAUAUGAUGAUCCUUGAAAUGACUUAAUUUCGUUUUGGGAUAGUUUGCUCUCCUGCUUUGUGAAAGAGGAAUCUGCCACUGCCUGGGACUUGGUGGACUCUCUUACAUCUUUCCCAGAACUCUGCCUAGCUAGGGCUUGCACUGUAUAAUCAAGUGACAAGAAAAAGAAAAGAAUAUUAAGAUCUAAGCUUUGUCACUUGGUUAGGUUAGUAACAUAAAAUGGCAUGGAAGAUGAAGAUGGAAGAUGUCAUUGUCACCUGGAAGCAGCAUGCCAAAUGGAGUAUGCUCUAGGAUGUCAGAUCAUACAAAAGAAAGUUCAUUCCCAGUGACCCAGUGAUGAAUGGAUGAUGAAGGCUCAUGCGAUGCCAUAGCGUCUCUGCGUCCUUCCUUCUGUUGUCACUGCAGCUAACCAGAGUUACAUAGCCUGUCUCUCUCUCUCUCUCUCUCUCUUUUCCCUCUCCUGGGAUUCCAUUUGUCCUUCUUCUUCUGCAUACUUUAUAAACAAUAUACAGCAAAUGGAUCAUUAAUGAUCCAACCACGAGAUGUUGUUUAGACAAGUAAAAACAUCAAGCAAAGCUGAUGCCUUAAAAAAUACUAGUGUACUACGCAGAAUAUACACUUCAGUGAGAUUUUAAUUGCAUAGGUUAACCCAUAAUUGAGAACUAAGGAGGACUUGUUGGGUGUUAUUUUAUUAGUAAAUUAUCGACUGACCACACUAUGCAAUGAGACAAACAGUAGAGACUCUCAUUAGUAACAGUGGGAGUAGGAGGUAUGAAGCAAAUCCAAGUCUUUAAAGCAACAUGAGCUUUACCUUUUGGAGUCACUGUGAGUGUAGCUGCACAAGAGGCUUCCCCAGCACUAUUGGCGGCUUUGCAAGAGUACUGCCCAGCAUGCUCUGAGUAAGCAUCAACUAUAAGCAUUAAAGCCAUGCCUGUGGACUCCUCAAAAUGGAAAACUACAUCUUUUGUUGGUAGAAUUGACUGCUGGUUAUGAAACCACUGGAUUUCUGGCUUGGGAAUGCCAAAAACCCUUGCAUGAAAUCUGACUGUCUCCCCGCUGUGCACCCUGAGGCUUGAUAGAGGCUGGAUGAAGAUGGGCUUUUGGCCAAGGGAGUCCUUCUUAAAUGAAACUGACGAAGAAACAUGCCAUUGGGAGUUUGAUGUAACUUCUCCAAAUUUGCUAAAUCCUGAAAAGAAGCAUGCCAACCUUUAAUGUCUUACCCUGCAUUGAAACCAGAACUCAUUUGGAGUUGUCUACAGAUCUGUCGUAAAUUGUAAUGGUGGACUAGAAUCCAGACCAAUCUUAAUGCCUUGUCAACGUAUGACAUUAUUGGUUCCAAGUCACACAUGUUCACUUCCAUUUUCCAGACAAACCAAUGGAGACAUAAAUAGUCUAAGAAACUUCACCGUAUUGUUUGCGAAGGCAGUAGUGAAGUACACAAUUUAGUUUAGGUAUUCUUGUUUUCUGUUUUUAUUUUUUUCCCCUCUGGUUAUAAAAUCAGAUUUUCUGUUUUGUAAACCACUUUAAAUUGAUUAUUAAGAAAAUAUCUGAUUAUUAUUGUAUUUAAAAUUAAGGGAAAAAUCAAAGUUGCCUUCAAUCCUUAUGUAUUUGUACAUAGUUAAGAAUACAUAGACUAAAUUAGCUCAGCAAAAAUAGUCUGACUGUAUAAAAAUGUUGUUAUCUUGUUUUGAAUCAAAGUGCUCCCCACUGCCAGGGAAGUGUUUCUGAUUGCAGUUUAAAAGCCCCAAAUAUCAGAAAUGCUAAACCAUCUUUGGACUGGGCCCCUUAACCUGAAGGCAUUCUUGGAAUGAUGGCGAAUGCAUCUAGAUGGUGUCCAGACCCGAAAUCAUCCUCUGUAGCUUCUGUGAACUCAGAAUUGUGUCAAGACAAUGGGGGGAUAGUAACGCUGGCAUUAAAAAACAUUUUUUUUUAAUUUUCAUCUUAGCUAAAUGAGAAAACAAAUCUACCUAAGUAUUUCUUUAGCAUAUUUCUCUCCAUUCUGAUACAUGCUGAUCAGAAAGCAUGAAAGCUGGCGCGGAGAGCAGUACAUUACAAAACAGUAUAAAGACAAAGCAGGGCAAAAUAGAAAAUGAUGGUUUGUGAUUCAUCAUGAAAUGGGAUAAAAGAAAAGUAAGAAUGUCGUAUAUAACAUGGAAAUAAUUAGUUGCAUUAAAAGAGAAUGGUAGGGCCAAUGAUGGUUUACAUGGAAUCUUUAGUGAUUGUUACUGGCAUUGUAAGAUUAGAUCCAUAUUUAAAUGUGGUUCUUAAAGUUGUUUACUGUACCUGCCAGUCUCAAGUUGGCUGUGCUUGAUACUUGACCAACAGCAUUAUUAGCAACAAAAGUGUAAGUUCCUUCAUCUUCCGGAAAAGCUUCAGCAAUUUCCAGUUGGUAAGUGUCUUCAAAUUGAGUCAUUCUAAAGAACCGAGAUGGCUUGAUUUUCUUGUCUUUGGCGUACCAAGACACUUUUAGAUCUGCAUCACAAAAGAAAAAAAAGAUAUUUAAAAUCACAAAAAGUGGUGGAUGAUUUUACCUGCAAACACAGUAUUGAUUACAUUGUUGACUACAUUUCAUAUUUAUCUUAAUAACAUUAGAUUUCCCUUUUGGGCUUGCCACAUCUGCUCUUUUAGGUUUCCUUUUCAUCUUUAAGAAAAACAUGAUUCCAGAAAAAUCCAGCUUAUAGACUGGUUGUAAUAUUUGAACUUUUAUAAUUUUAAUUAUAUUCUUUUUAACCAUUUGCAGUCCAUGCUGUGGAAACAGGGUCAAGGUUUUGACAUAGUGACCUUGAGAAAAAGACAGUCCUAAGGUAGAGUCAUCAGGAUGGGUUUUAUCUAGGAUUGUGGUUGCUUAACGAGGACAGGGAGAGGAAAAUCUGCACUUCUGGUGGGCAGAAAGAUCAAUCAAAAAGAGAGCUGAGAGAAUCAACAUUCCCAAAAGUAUAAAACAGACACCCUGUAGUCUGAAGAAAAAAAUUCUAUACUGUCAUUACCAAUGAGCAAGCAUUGAAAGGUCUGAGCAAAGCAAAAAAUAAUUUUUAAAACUGAGAGUAAUGAAAUUUGGGCAUCUUAGAUAUAUUUGGCUUUUUUCAAAGUAUAUAAUAAUAAAACCAGUUCUUUUCAUAUAAGGAGUUGAAUCAUGUUAAAAUGAUAGAAAAUAACCCCAAAGCAAAGAUAAAAUAACAUUAUAUUGUUAUGGUUUAAGGUAAUGUGCACUUUAAAAAAUAUACUUCCAUUGAAACAGUAACCCUGUAAGUCAAGAGUGGAUUUAGUUAUUUGUUUUAAAAGCCACAACCCAAGCUGAGUAUGAUCCCUAUACCACUCCCUUUUCUAAUUACCAUCUAUGGAGGAUUCUCUUGUGGUGCAAUCAGCUAGCAUUUGUUUGCAUUUUGGCACAAAUAUUGGCUUGUGAAGGUUUCCCUCCAUCCUGCCCAUGGUGGUAGUAUUUUUAAACUACAGGUUCUCCUUUUAAAUCUCUUCACUUCCUUAGGUAGCAAGGUAAGGUAGAAAAUGGAAUGCUGAUACCACAAUUUACCAGCUGUGUGACCUUACACCUGCCAUUUAAUCUUUCUGGACCAGUCUUCUCAUUUGUAAAAUAAGAUGCAUAGUAAUUCAUGAGCUAUUUUUUUUAAUAUAUGAAAUUUAUUGUCAAAUUGGUUUCCAUACAACACCCAGUGCACGAGCUAUUCUUUGCAAUAAAUUGUUGUGUGAAUUAAAUGGCUUACACAUGGAAGGAGCUUUAUAAACCACUGUCACAAGUCAGUUAUUAUAGAAAGAAUGUUUAACCUCGCAAGGGAUCAGCAGUGCCUUUAAUAAUUUACCAAAAGUCAGGGCCAGGUGAUGUAAGAGACAACACCAUCACAUGGAAUUUAGCGAUCAUUCUAUAACUAUUUAGUUUGUCUAUUAAACCUCAACAGAAAUGGAAGAUGAAGAGUUUGGUUCACCACUUUGCAAGGUUCUCUGCAUAUUACUACUGACAGAGGUAAACUGAUUGAAGCCCUAGGAUAGGCAUGUAUUGUCAACAAGAAAUAAGCUAACAGGUGAGACCUCUCUUGGUAAUGGAUUUGGUGCUUCUGACUGGGCUGCCCCUUUCUGUGUCGGUCACUGGUCUCUUUUGGCUUCCGUGAGGCCUCUCCACUGCCCCUGCUCCCCGUUCUAUUACUCCACUAUAUUUGGUCCCUAAAUUCUGUUCAUUCCACCUCUUGAAUUCAAUAUACACCCUUUUUUCUCCCGAUUCCCCUAAUUGAGGGCCUUGUCAGCACCUUCCAAGCCUGUUAGGAUGGCCUCUCCCUUGGUCCUCACCUGGUCUCACCUCCCACAUCUGACCAUUCCUCUUUUCACUACCACAGUAGUGUCUCUAAAAAAGUAAAUCAUGUUACCGAGGGGCUUAAAAAUCCUUCAGUUGCUCCUUAGUAUAAACAAGGUAAAAUCUAAAAUCCUAAGCAUAGAAUACCAAACCUUUAGUACCUGGCCCUUGCCUUCUUUCCUGGCCUUCUCAUCCACUUAUCACAUCACUUUCCAACCAUACUUAAGCCACUUGUCGUUUCCAGCACAUGAAGUACCCUUGCAAGCUUUUAUGACUUUGUAAAUGUCGUUCUCUGCCUAGAACACCGCUGUGUUCAAGGACCCUGUUGAUUUUUCAAUGCCCAGUCUGUGCAUCUCUGUUCAUAUUGCAAACAGUCAGCGCUGAGUACAUGGGCUGUUAUGGCACUUACAACCUUGGGAUCUAGUUGUGCACGUGUGUCUCCUCACCUACACUCAAUUCUAUGAAAGCCAGGUCUGGCAUCCCUAGCAGCUAGUGUAAUGUUUCAAUAGCAGUCGAAUAAACCUGAAGAGUUACUUAAAUGAACAACAGGAAUCCAUCAUUGCCAGACCACUUAUCAUUUUAUUUAGCUAGCUGUUGCUCAGUAAGCCUUUGAAUGAUACUGAUUAUCUGUAGAAUAAACAUUGGUAAAAAUGUAGCUUUAUUACGUUUUAAAAAUCUGCUUUUACAAAUUGCUUUUCCACCAGUAAGUGGCACCAGAGACCUUCAGUAGGCAACACGUUCUCAUAAAAGCACCACUAGAUUGCUGAGGGCCAAGUUCCAUGCUUCAGUUAAGUAUUGAGUUCCAAAAACAUGUGACUGAGGUUUCUGAAGACUGAUAAUGUUUUUUCACAUUUGUAGAAGGCAGGGCUGAAUUUACUUUCCUAGGGUAAUACUUGCUAAGAGAAAGUUGUGUAAAUAUAUUUAGUCCCAGGGGCAUCAACCUUUAUGAUUUGGUAAGCUUUUAAAAGGGCAUUUUACUUAAAGAACUUACAUUUUGCCAUAUAGGAAAUACAUUUGCAAGAGGGUGCUCAAAUUUCUAUAUGUGUAUAAAUAGUACCACACAUAAAGAGUUAGUAAUCCAUAAAUUUAUAACGUCCAUUUAAACAUUUAAAGAUGUCAGUCAUAUAAAAAAGAUAUUUUUCUCUUUCUACCCCAAUUGGAGUCUUUUUUAAAAAAUUAUUAUUAUUAUUAUUAUAUUAUUAUUAUUAUUUUAGAGAGGGAGAGAACAUGUGUGUGUGAGCAGGGGAGAAAGGCAGAGGGAGAGAGAGAGAAUCUUAAGCAGGCUCCACCCUUAGCAUGGAGCCUGAUGAGAGCUUGAUCCCACAACCCCAGAAUCAUGACCUGAACAGAAACCAAGAAUGGGAUGCCCAACCAACUGAGCCACCCAGGCGUCCCCCAAUUGGAGUCUUAUGAAAGGCUUAAAACAUAUUUUUGUAAUACCUUAAAGGCAAAACUAUAAUAUUAUUUAUAAACUGAAGAGUACUAUAUAAAGACUACUGCUUUAAACGACCCAUAUAUAUGUAUAUCGAUUUGAAAAUUUUCCUCUAAAAAUUCAAUGGAAGGACAAAUUAUUUAGUGUGGCUUUAAUGAAUUUGAUAUUAAAAUGCCUUUUCUUUACUGUGUUAGUAGGAUAUUAUCAAAUCAGAUCUUAUUUCUUAACAUUUAGUGUUUCUCAAACUCACAAAGUCUAUGGUAUUUCCCCAUGUUGGUUGCCCACUACCAGACUUUUAUGUUUAUAUAAUUCCCCUCUAUAUCUAUAAUAAAAUUAAUGUAUUGAGCACCAGUCACUUGCCAGCCAGGCCUAUAGAUGCUUUACCUACAUCAUUAAUUAUCUUUUCAUUAUACUCAUAAAAAUCAAACAGGUCCAUUUGGUUUCUAGAUCAGCAUCUUCACCUCAGAGGAGGAAAUCAUCAGGUUUUAGAAGGCCAAUUGAAAUACUGACUUGUUUACAAAAAUGGCUCAUGGCAAUGCAGAGAUUGGGUCAUAAACCAAUGGAAGAAGCAUAAAAAUAAACCCACACUUAACUAGGAGUGCUAUGAAGCUAAGCUCUAAGAAUUUCCCUUUGGUGGGCAUAUAUAAGGGCCAAGAAUAUGAGAGUGACUUUCAUUUGGGAUAAAGUUGAUUUACUUUUUCCCUACCUGAGAUAAAUUUACAAUCAUAAUUGGCUUGAAAGAGCUGCAAAUAUUUUGCCUCAUUCUACCAACAUCAGACUCCUGAGGCUGUGAGACAGGGCCGUGGGUGUUUGGGAAGCAUGCCCCAAUUAAAGAGCAUAUAGCUAACCAACUGAGGGUUACUAUAUGACGAACACUGUGCUACGUGCUGGUGUGUGUUAUCUAACACGAUCCUCAUUGGUAUUAGUCAUUUGAUAAUCAUUCUUUUGUCCAGUUAACAAGUACAUAUUGACUAUCCACUAUGUAUGAAGCUAUCCUAGGACAAGGAUUCACCCUCACUGCCAAGGGUCUUACCUUCUAGUAGCCACUGCCUUUUUAGGCACCAGGUUUUAGGUGCUAAGACAGAAUCCCUGCCCUUGUGAAAGGUAUGUUCUAAGAUCAAAGGCAAUACUAUUCUUACUUUACUCAUGAGGAAAAGAGAGCCAGAGAAAUAAUAUAUUUGCCUAAGGUCACACAGGGGAGCCACAAUUCAAGUCUAACCUCUCGGAUUAUAAUGCCCUUACUUUUGAUGCUACAGUUCAGUAGUGGUAAACAUGGUCUAUUCCUUAGUUCAGUAAUUCAAGUAAGUCUUUUGCAAGAUUCCCAUUAAGAGUCAAAUUAUGCCUGGGAGGUGUCUGUGAUGGAGGAAAAUGUGAGAAAGCUCUCCUCAGAUCAUUCUGUGUAAGUAUUAGCAACGAUACCUUUGCUCUUGAACCUACCUGUUCCAGAAACUCUGCACUGAAAACGGGCUGGCUGUCCCUCAGAAGUGACGGUGUCCUGAAGUGGGGUAAUGAUAGCAGGAGGAUAAACUGGCAUUUCCUGAUCUGGAGACACGACUUCCGGAACUAAAGAAAGGGACCACAAGAUGCGUCAGGAUUAAAUCACCUGCAGACCUCAAAGAAGAAUGGAGCAUGUGGAUUUAUCUUAAUUCAUGUGGCAUCAGGGCACUUUCUGAAAGCUGAGCAGCAAUCCACUUGUAUGAGCUCCAGAUUGUAUUCAUAAAUGCAGUGGGACAACACACAAAAAGCGGGUUUCUUAGGUUUUAUUUUAAGCUGAGGCUAGCGAGGCCUUUCUACCUUCCACGGAGAGGGAAGCGGACGUCGUGGCUACUCCAUAGUCAUUCUUGGCUUCACAGGUAUAAACAGCCGCGUCCUCCGGGAAG
Molecule: long non-coding RNA, 8005 nt
Filed under: Lynx pardinus (Iberian lynx)
Lineage: Eukaryota; Metazoa; Chordata; Mammalia; Carnivora; Felidae
Source: RNAcentral